Molecule: ribosomal RNA, 3660 nt
Filed under: Triticum aestivum (bread wheat)
Lineage: Eukaryota; Viridiplantae; Streptophyta; Magnoliopsida; Poales; Poaceae
Description: partial small subunit ribosomal RNA
Source: RNAcentral
UGCGUGGCGAAAAGAGGAGUGGAAAGCGGUGAAGGUGGUGGCCCUAUAAGAAAGGACGAGCUUCUGGUUGCUGGCCCCUAUAAAAGUAGAGCGCGCGGCUUAGGAGAGGCUUAGGACUCCCGAGGUCGGAGGUCCCUGGAGCUGGCGCUAAGCUCGACGGCACGACCGGCCGUCCUCGCGGGCGGUGUCUGGAGGCCGAGGGUCCCUCCCUGCUACCGGCACAUGAACUUGCUGCUAAACCUUCUGGACGUUCUGCUGGUGAAGCUGAGGCUGCCCAAACCGCAGAGGCCGUCGGCGCUGCCGGUAGGGAGCUCGGGCUUAUUCGUAUUCUUACUAUGUAGUCGGCACCUCAUGUCUUUACCUUUUCUGUACGUUCCCUAUGGUACCCUCUCCAAUUUUAUGUCAUCUCUAGUCAUAGCGUUCUACUCCGACUUCGUAAUGUUCUUAAUACUCUUGGAGCGCUCCAGUGUAGUCCCCAAACUAUACCUCACGUUUGUUCACCUCUGUUUACUGUUCAAGAUACUAAAGACGAAGUUGUGUGCUGAACAGUUCGGUUGCUAUCACGUAAAAGUCCAUGUCAAUGGAAGGGUAAAAAUUCUAUAAACUACGAACGUAACUAUAUUCUUAGAAUUGUAGUUUCCACAAUUUGUUGUAUAAGUUAAGAAAUUUCUUAAGAUGUCUCAAAAACUAACAAUGGGUGAUAUCAAUCGAGUUAGAAGUUGUAAAAAUUUCCUUUUAAUACACGUGAGUUUGACGCACCAUACAAAAUGAAAAACUUGUUUUUUUUGACUCGUGUUGGACAAUUAUACCAACGGGUUUCAAUGAUGUAGUAUUACGUGACGUAACAAUGAGGAGUAUACAUCAUAUUCUUGAAAGUCAUAAGUGGAGUAACAAAUGGAAAUGAUCACGUUUCUAUAAAAUGACAAGGGAGAGGCAGGAAAGAAGAGAAUACAGAAACCGAGGUUUUUCUUUUCCUUCAUACUCCUUUCGAACACGGUUUUCGUAUAUUUAUUAUUGACCACUGACGGACUGCAUAAGUUCGAUAUAAUCGGAAAACGUAAAAUACAAGAAUGAGACAAAACAUCUACAACACUCUAAGAACUUCGAAACUGGCCAAAACUAAAACAAUCCACUUCGAAGAUUAGAAGUAAGUACAAAUAAGGUAACCAUAUCUGACGUUGAUAUCGCAUUGUCACUCACGUCCAGUACAGUAUUGAGUAUUCAACUCGGCCUAGACCAUUGACUUCGACAUCAAAGUAAAGACGUUAAUCACCCGAACAUAUAAUCCUAUCUUGACGUUAUGUUGCCUGAGUUGUCCCAAGAAUUCGUCCACCAACUCGUAGGAGUGAGGAGUCACCGGCCGAGACAGUAUACUGUAGAAGCCUUAUACUAUACUAUCCAAUAAAAUCGUUCCAAGCCAGUCUAAUAAGUAUAAGGGUAAAGAAAAACCGUCCAACUUGUAAUCUCUCUACGAUUGUUUUAAAAUACGUCCUGAAGAAUACCAUAAUUGAAACUGGAUGAUUUUCAGGAACUUACGAUGAGGGAGGCAGGAUUUUAUUCACAGAGUUGAAACAUGAUUGAAAUCAUGUUUCAACAUGAUUUCAACUCUGUGAAUAAAACCUGCCUCCCUCGCCUCCCUCAUGUAGAAAACGUAAUAACCGGCUCACUUAACACACACGUACAGAACGUAAGAGCCUAUGUAAGACGACAGCUAAUAACAUGAUAAACUGUAAAACUGCAGUAAAAUAAAGGUACUCGAGCAUCAAUACCCAGGCCAAGGAUUUUCCGGAAUAGACGGAUAGGAGAAAAUUUAACGAUAUUUAUCACACACCGGCGUGGGCGUGGUUACAUGUUUUUCAGACGUAAUCGGGAACUUGAAGACAUUCCUCAACUUUUAACCCAGUGAUUGAGUGGUAUUUGACAACGUAACCUAAUAGAAGUCAACCAAAGUCCAUUCUAUUGGUUUACGAAGAAGUCGACAUAAAAUGAUUGCUACCAACCGCAAAAUCUGUAUCCAUAAGGAAAUCCAUGUAGAACUUUAUGAGGAUCCAGGAUUGGUAUUACCAUCUCAAUGUCAGACAUCAACUCAACCAGUUUACCCUCACUACGGAUCUUUACACGUACUCACACAUCCUUCAAUAGCCGGGAAACCAAACACGUCAAAGUCUGUGUUGAGUCUAACGGUUAGCCAAAAGGUCGUUUAAGAAUACCUAUGCCAUUACACGAGAGUAGACGACAAAACGAUCCGGAAAAAAUAAGAGAAAGAAUUACGUCAAUAAACAUUCUAUUAAAGUCAUUACAACAUUCUGGUAUCUCUUGUAAUACAAAGUGAUAGUGAUUCGUAUAGCAGUUCUAGUUUAACAGUCACAAACCAACGAUGUUAGUUGAUGCAAAAAAAGGUAAACCUAUUUUGUCGUGGACGUUUCGUAACAAGUGUAAAAGAUGAGGCUUCCGUGACUAGUAAGGAUAAGAACCAUAGAAGUCGAUUCCUUAGAACACACCCGGUGUAGGUUCGUACUACAAAUGUACCGUGUCUUGUUAAGUCACUACGUGACCAGAAGAGAAGAAGUUUCUCCCUGUCUUCACGAGGUGCAACGUCCGGUUCAACAAGGUUUCGUCUUCUGCGUACCUCGAGCCUGUGACAGGUCUCACGUCUAGUCGUGUUACCGGGAUUUUCUGUUAGAGUACCAUCGCCCACCAAAGGCACCACUUGACUAAAAGUUCAUACAACUGUUCGGGCCCCACCGUAAGACAUGCUUACGGCGACUAUUAUUUUUGAGGCAGUGCUUACGACAUCUACACAUGCUCAGAGGAUCGCCGCGAUGAGCUCACUGCCGCCGGUUGUUACUGACGUGACAGUUUAAAGAACUACGGCUCUCCACGUCGGACGAAUCAGCGAAAUGAAAGGGCACCAGCCAGUUAUUGUGUAGCCACUCAGGACUACCGUUCGAGGAGCGCCAGGAGCCGCUGUCGAGGCUGACGCACUAGUGGCUGCGAGUUAGCCCGCUUCUCUAUCGCUGAGAGUUUCCCGUGGACCUGAUGAGCAAGAGUAGCCGGACCGUGGGGCCGCCCGUGCAGGACCGCUGCCCCUUGGUCCUGUUCUGCACGGCCGACACCCUGUGCGCGUUGGACAGCCGCGGCAAGCGCCACGACCCUCCCUCCUAGCCACGCCAGGCCCCGGAGGCCAAGAGCAGCCUGCCCGCCAAGGACCGCCGCCGCCUCCGCCGCCUGAAGCAGGUGCACAUGCUGCGCGCCCGGCCGAUGCCGCGGCGCGUCCUCUAGCCCGACAAGCCCCUCUAGCGCCCGCACCGCAAGUCGGGCCUGCGCCUGCGCGACAAGCAGCCCCAGCGCCUGGCCCGGAUGCCGUCGGACGAGCUCAAGCCGGCCGCCCCGGCCGUGCGGAUGGACCUGAGCAUGGACACUGACUCACCUUGUCAGUACAGCCGGCGCGCAGCUCAUCUACGGAUCUACACACAUAUCACGAGGUAUACCGUUCACCACCAAAGACAAAUAUACGCCUCACCAUGUUCACUUUUCUACGAUGCCACGUUGACCCAUGUCUACCAUGUACUAGACCUGACUGGGACUAAGUCUUCAGUCGUCCAUGAUGUCUUAAACCAAGCGCACUCUUCUCAAUUCAGAAAACUACUGACGCCGCGA